AAAACCCCAGGGCUGGCAGAAGUAAGUUGGCACGUCCAAUCCCAGCCAGACCGCCUUUGUUCGCCGGUGCCAGCCGCUGCAGCAUCCAGGGGAGCACAGAACCCCGGCCAGGCAGAAGCAAUAAAUCACCCAGGUUAAGAAGACCCAGCUAGCCCAACAUAGAUCGAUUUCAUGGAUGCUUUCUUGCACUUACCAGUGAAAGAGCUGAGAACUGACCAUCUUCUGAGACCGCCUUUUGGCUUCAGGGAAGAGAGUGAUACAAGAGCAGUGGUACAUGAAAGAGAAACUCAAAGCUCAACCAAAGGAG
Lepidothrix coronata (blue-crowned manakin) is the source of this 307-nucleotide long non-coding RNA. RefSeq lists it as uncharacterized. The record is from RefSeq and is a predicted model, not a curated record. NCBI's taxonomy places the organism in Eukaryota, Metazoa, Chordata, Aves, Passeriformes, Pipridae. The transcript has 4 exons.